Molecule: long non-coding RNA, 3227 nt
Organism: Triticum aestivum (bread wheat)
Lineage: Eukaryota; Viridiplantae; Streptophyta; Magnoliopsida; Poales; Poaceae
Exons: 6
Source: RefSeq, a predicted model, not a curated record
GGUGACUAGCAUAGAAGGCGGAGGAGGUCAUUGGAGCCGGCUUCCCUUCCGCUUUGGCUGCCAAGCUCCGCGCGUUGGUGAGUCCCUCUCUCUAUCCCUCUACAUCUCUCCCUCUCUCUGUCAGAGGGCAGCUACCAACCCCGAGGUGCAGGCGGCCAUGGAAAAGCAGAAGAUGCCACACCUAGCUUUCCCCCUUGCCUCCUGCCCUUUCUCUUCAGCUCAUUUAUUUACAUGUGCAAAUUCUCUUUUAUCUAUGCCUGCAAGGUGUUUGAUGAAAGUUCAGUAAGGCUUUGAGGGAAUACCAAACAAGAGAGGAUCCAGUAUCUGUAACAUGCAUCAGGUUGACACCAACUUCAUGCAUUUUGCUUCAAGAUCAUUGUUAAUUUAAUUCAAAAUGUUUUCUCAUUCUAUUGGAAGAUAGAAAGGAUGGUUGUAGAAAGAUAACUGUUCUACUUGGAUACCUUUCUUUGUUCUCGUUUGCAUUUAAGUAAAAAUGUUCAACUGCAGAUAUAGAUUGCCGGCGGGUGGAUAUAUUGCUCAAAAGAUGUCACUAGUGCUGUACUGCUGUAGAUGCCAUUGAUUUCAUAUAUCAAAGCAUUACAGCUCUUUCAGAUCCUUUGUAUUUCCACUUAGUUAGCUUGAAAAUCUUGUCUACUACGGACACCUCUUGAAAAUUGCAAAGGAGUUCUAACUCCCAACAAGCUUAUUUCCUUAAAAAAUGUAACUGGUACAAUGUUCUACGUACCUUAUGAGAGGUCAGCCCCGGCAUCACAGUCCAUUCCUGAAGAAGUUCACAUGCAUGGUGUUGAUUGUUGAGUUUGCUUGGUUAACGGAAUGACAUGCCUAUGCAGAUCAGCAGGGGGAAGGUCCAGGGUGAAACCUUCAGGAGGGAUUUGAUGUUGCUAUUGUUUCAGUUUGCAGAUAGAGGAUGUGAUUCCAGCAAGACAGAGACGAUGGCGAUGACAAGUGAGAUUUAUGUUAAGGAGUAUUAGCAUAUGCUCACAGGAUCACUGGAAGUUUAUAAAUGUAUCCGCAAUGAUUGUUGCUUUCUUAUUGACACAUAAUUGAAUUAUAAUUAUAGACAGUAAGAGUAGUUGUCUUUUCAUUUGUUAGAAAACAUAGUGUACCUUUAUAAUCGUAGUUAUAUGCAAUGAUCCAUCAUGUAUUUUUGUUUAAAACUGCAACCCGUAAUUGUUUGAUGUCAUUAAAUGUCUCUCUCUCUCUCUCUCUCUCUAUAUAUAUAUAUAUAUAUAUAUAUAUAGUUUACGUUCUUAAAUUAGCCUCCAUACUAUCUGCAUUGUCAUGGUAACCUUGGUAGGUCAUAAUAUGUAGAUCCAUAAUCCCGGUUCAAUUUGAGCUUUCCAUGUGAUUUUUUACCUGAAUAUUAGGAUCACAACUUAAUUAACUUAAAUUAGCAGUAUAGUGUCAAUGGACGUCAUCUGAAGCUAAUAAGAUGUUGUUUAUUGAAGAACAGCCCCUUGCUACUUGCACAGUACAUGAAAAGCACACUAAAUAGAUUAAAGAAAUCAUACUUGACUGUGAUUGCAUUUGGUUGAUGCUUACGUGUAUUUCUCAUGGGUAUACCAAGGGGGCAAUCUUCUAUAUUUCAGGUCCAAAGCUUUCAAUGCAUUUUUUUAUCUGUUUUUCAUGUCCCAAUGAUCAUCUGCAAGUCCGAAUUAUGCCAUUGUUGAUGGUGCACAGGUAUGUUGCAUGGUGAACCCAGUAUUGGCCCUCCUUUCAAGCUCCUGUGUUCAUCCUAGAUAAAAUUCUGGAAAAUACGUCGGAACUAUCUUUUAAUCUUCCAACAGUGUAUUGCUAUGAUUAUAUAUAUGGAUACAUCAUAUCGAUGUGUCUAGAGACCUAAAGCCUUAAGAGUUAAGUGCCAAACUGGGGACUGAUAUUAUAACUGCAGAUGGGCUUUAUUCAGGUAUUUUCUUGCCAUAAAUGAUGAUGUUUGCAGAUGGGCUUUGUUCAGUCAUAAGAGCUUAUCAGUUCAGCCUGCAUACUUUUGUUUCUUCAGUGUACUGUGUCUGAGGAAAGCAUUUAUUUUGUCUCCUGUUUAAGUGAAUUCAUGGCUAAGAUGGACGAAUUUCUAUUAUGUGGGCUGGAGGUUCUUGAGUUAGGGCACUAGCACUAGCUAAGCUUCCAUUCUGGUAAAAUGUAUGACAUGCUUGAUGAGCAUGCAUAUCUAUAUGGUUUUGUGGACACUGAUUUAGUUCCAUGCUAGUUUAUUUCCAGCAGUUGGUCUGCUUCUUCAUAGAGAUUUUAUUAGUACUAAAUUAAAUUAGAAACUGAAUGUGUGCUUCUUUCACCUUCAGUCUGAACAUGACAUUGCCUUAUUUGUGACACAGGUGGAAAUUAGCAAGCAAGAUACAGUCGGUGCAUGGAUGACCAAGAUUACUUAUUACUUUAUGAAGAUGAUGAUUCCUGCAUGUUGAUUGUGCUUCAAGGGUAGAAGAGGAUGGGAGGAGGGGACACGCGCUCUAUAUUUUGUUAUGCACACCUUUCUAAACUAUACUUGUCUUCUUAACACAUGUUCAUUGUCCAGUAGAAGCUGUAGAUUUCAGCGUACAAUAAUUUCCAAAAUGGCAGAAGGUCUCUGCGCCAUUUGGCCAUUUGGUCUUUCUCCUGUCGCCAGCGCUUCUUCUUCUCGUCUGUCCUGCUGCUAACCCAACAUGCUUCUGCUUGCUGCCUCGGGUUGUACGAUCUCUUCUGUCGCUGCGUCGUUCGACUCAUCAAGGACAACGGUGAGAAGGGGCUCUUGAGGCGGCUGCACUCGGUCCCCCCCUGCAGCCACACACCACAUCGUCCGACCAUGUUGGUGAAAUUUGCAGAACUGACGGCUUCGCAGUAAGACUAUGGAUGGCUGCUAGGUUUUGGUAAUGGUGAGGACAGGUGCUGCCGAAGAUAAUUCGAGGUUUCUCGGAAAAUCCAGGGGACAAUGUCAUAGUGCUGACAUUGGGGACGAGUUUUGAUACUUCGGGAGAAGCCUAUGACUUUUACAACCUGUGCUUUUGGGAUAAGCGAUUCGGCAUUAGUAGGAAGACUGAAAGACAGUUAAUGGGAAAAUUAUUGGUGUGAUUGAAUAAGUAGUUUCAUGGUUCUGAUGUCUGAUGUAUGAUUAGAGCAUUUUCUCUUAUGGUGUACUGAAUUAUUAAAGAUUGUGUGUGAAUUGUUAAGAUGCAAUUUUUCUAUGUAUGUGUGGAUCCACGGCGGUCCAGACUGUA